UACGUAGGGUGCGAGCGUUGUCCGGAAUUAUUGGGCGUAAAGAGCUCGUAGGCGGUUUGUCGCGUCGACUGUGAAAACCCGAGGCUUAACCUCGGGCCUGCAGUCGAUACGGGCAGACUAGAGUUCGGUAGGGGAGACUGGAAUUCCUGAUGUAGCGGUGAAAUGCGCAGAUAUCAGGAGGAACACCGGUGGCGAAGGCGGGUCUCUGGGCCGAUACUGACGCUGAGGAGCGAAAGCGUGGGGAGCGAACAGG
RNAcentral lists this ribosomal RNA (253 nucleotides) under uncultured bacterium. Its description in RNAcentral is "partial 16S ribosomal RNA". It matches the Rfam family "Bacterial small subunit ribosomal RNA", at positions 524 to 776 of the family's 1533-position model. The record is from RNAcentral.